UUCCGGUUGAUCCUGCCGGACCUGACUGCUAUCGGAUUGAUACUAAGCCAUGCGAGUCAUUGUAGCAAUACAAGGCAGACGGCUCAGUAACGCGUAGUCAACCUACCCUAUGGACGGGAAUAACCUCGGGAAACUGAGAAUAAUGCCCGAUAGAACAUUAUGCCUGGAAUGGUUUAUGUUCCAAAUGAUUUAUCGCCGCAGGAUGGGACUGCGGCCUAUCAGUUUGUUGGUGAGGUAAUGGCCCACCAAGACUAUUACAGGUACGGGCUCUGAGAGGAGUAGCCCGGAGAUGGGUACUGAGACACGGACCCAGGCCCUAUGGGGCGCAGCAGGCGAGAAAACUUUGCAAUGUGCGGAAGCACGACAAGGUUAAUCCGAGUGGUUUCUGCUAAAGGAACCUUUUGACAGUCCUAGAAACACUGUUGAAUAAGGGGUGGGCAAGUUCUGGUGUCAGCCGCCGCGGUAAAACCAGCACCUCAAGUGGUCAGGAUGAUUAUUGGGCCUAAAGCAUCCGUAGCCGGCUCUGUUAGUUUUCGGUUAAAUCUGUACGCUCAACGUACAGGCUGCCGGAAAUACUGCAGAGCUAGGGAGUGGGAGAGGUAGACGGUACUCGGUAGGAAGGGGUAAAAUCCUUUGAUCUAUUGAUGACCACCUGUGGCGAAGGCGGUCUACCAGAACACGUCCGACGGUGAGGGAUGAAAGCUGGGGGAGCAAACCGGAUUAGAUACCCGGGUAGUCCCAGCUGUAAACUAUGCAAACUCAGUGAUGCAUUGGCUUGUGGCCAAUGCAGUGCUGCAGGGAAGCCGUUAAGUUUGCCGCCUGGGAAGUACGUACGCAAGUAUGAAACUUAAAGGAAUUGGCGGGGCAGCAC
Molecule: ribosomal RNA, 871 nt
Filed under: uncultured euryarchaeote
Lineage: Archaea; Methanobacteriati; Methanobacteriota
Description: bacterial SSU rRNA
Rfam family: Archaeal small subunit ribosomal RNA
Source: RNAcentral